GAGAAUUGAGUGUGAACCAUGGCAGCAAAAGGCUUAUAGAUAUGACCUCACUACGAGAAGAAAUAAAGUAUAUAUCCAGGUGUGUUGAGAGAAGUCACUAGCGGAGGCAAAAGGAGAUGAUCCCUCGAGAUCAUAGUGAACAAGGUCUAAAGGAUGCUGUGACACUGUCUCGCUAUGAGUAUAAGGUAACUGGACCACGUAUUAGAGACAUCAUUGGAGACGGAUCCAAGAAGAUCACGUCGAACUAAGGAUGAGAGAUCACAAGUGACCCAAGGCGAUGAUGCCACUCUUGAAAAUAUCUGGUAGACAAGGCAACAGAGGAAGAGACUGGCGGCACUGACAGUAGAGGGACUUGAUCCAGCAUCCCACUUGCCUGUGCACUCUUCGUACCCCGACGAUCCGACUGGGUGUUCCUUUCCUGAUUGCGGGUUGUGUGCCACGUGCUUGAUUAAGCACCCCAGGUUCUCCUCCUGUGCGCCCUUGGCCUCGACUUUAGGUAGCGCCUGUCUUCGGCUCGUCCCGUGCAUAAUCCAGGUACGCGUUGAUUGUCCGAGCUCCUGCUCACCAUUGGUGGCGCUCGAGCACGCGGUUAUGGUGUCACACAAAGGGAACACGGGAUGUGGGAUUGAGACAGUGCUUGUAGCAACCCGCAGCAAGGCAAAGGAUGCCCAUCCAGACUCGUAGGGAGCGGAGGUGGUCACAAAGGUGGACGUUGACUCCAUAGGAGUCUCAACAGUGCGCUCAUCAGAAAGAGUAGCACGAGUAAGAAGAUCCUGGACAUACUUCUCUUAGAAAAUAAAGAAGUCAUUAGAGGUAGAAUAAACCUCAAUCUCAAGGAAGUACCAAAGAGGACCAAGAUCGGACAUAAGAAAUUCACUAUGACGAGCCUUCACCAAGGUAAUGUACUUAGAGUCGUUGCUAGUGAUGAUCAACAUGUAGAAGUAGUGUUCGACCACGAGCUGAAUGGUGGAUCGGAUGUGUAGUACUAUGAGCACUCGCCAAAAACUAGCCGCAAUCACCACUGAGACGAAGCGCUCAAACCAGGCCUGAGGAGUUUGCUUAGGGCCAUAUAGACAGCGACGAAGACGACAAACCAUGCCAUUAGGAAGAGAACCUAGCCACCAUUCAGUCACAUUGAGCUGAGAGACAUACUAGCGGCGAAUAGAAGUCACAUUGAGAAGUGUGCGAAGAGUGGUCACGUGGGCCAUAUAUAUAGGAGUAAAUGUCUCUUCGUAGUCAUGACCAUGUUCUCACCACUAAACGAGCUUUGUAACGCUCAAGAGUAUCAUCAGUCUUAACCUUGUAGACCCACUUACAAGUGAUGAGACGAGCACGAGGAGGAAGGGAAAUGAGAUUCCACGUGCCGUUGCGGGCAAGGGCAUCAAUCUUCAAUGCCAUGACAUGCACCCAUUUGGGAUGAACAACCUCACGGCAAGAAGACGUCUCGGGAAGAGCUGCACAGUAACCAUAGCGGUCAAUAGGCAGAAGUGGGCGAGCUCAAAAGCCAUAAGUACACUAUAAGCUGGAGGCGGUGCGUUGCCAAACGAAAGAAGAUAUAAUAGUCGAGGGAGAUGGCUUAUCAGAAGAAUCCACAACACGCGGACCACGAGUGUAGUAAAGUCGAGGAACAUGAGCAAAAGAAGGAACGUAUAAGAAGUCAAAGUGAGUCAUAACAUUCCCACCAAGUGAUGGGACAAACACGAGGAAGAGAAACAAUAUCCCACAUGCUGAUGCGCUCAAGAGCAACAAUCUCCUCUGCCAUCGCAAGGUGCCAUUUGGUAUGAAUAACAUCACGAUAAGAUGUCGGCUCAAGAACACCAGCGCCAACGCUUGGAAGACCAAGGCGGUCAACAGGCGGAAGCGGACGAGGAAGCAAGCCAUAAGUAGGCCGAGAGGGCUAGUGGCACAUCAAGAGACACAUUCGCAACACGCGGGCGAUAUAUAUAAAUGUGAGGAAAAGAUGGAAGAAUACGAGCAGAAAUAAUCGGGAUAAACUCAGGUGAUGGGAGAGAAGAAGCCACAACCGACGAAGGUGUUGAAUCCUGUGAUAAGCGAGGUGACGAAAUCAUAGGAGAUGAUGGCAUUGGAUCUGCAAUUAUCGGAGAAGCAGGAGCAGUACAACGAAUGGAUAAGGGAGUGAUAGGAGUGUUGGGUAUAAAAAAUAGAUUUCCUCCAUUGAAAAGGUCGAGGAAGAUGGACGCGGGUAGAAGGGAUGAGACUCAUCAAAAGUCAUAUCCCGAGAAAUAGGCAUCCGACGCCCAACAUGAUCCCAAUAAUGAUAUCCCUUAUGCUCAUCGUUGUAUCCUAAGAAGACACACUCAACGGACGGAGCAGUCAGUUUGGUGCGUUCACAUGGGCAAGGACAUAGCAAACAUAACCAAACAAUUGAAGUGCUGAAUAAUCAGGAAAUAAUCAAAUAGACGCUCGAAAGGAGCGCCACCCUGUAGAGCAAUGGAUUGCUGAAGGUUGAUGAGAUAGAUGGAAGUGGAGACAGACUCGGCCCAAAAGUGCGGUGAAAGAGAGGCGGUGACCAUCAAUGGAGGAGCCGUCUCAAUAAGGUGACGAUGCUUGUGCUCAGCCACACCAUUUUGAGCAUGAGCACCAGGAUAAGAGAAGCAAAGUCUGCUCAGCAAGGAUUCCACGCAACAGUUUGGAGAUGUACUCUCCACCAGAGUCACCAUAGAACACAUGAAUAGGCGUAGAGAAUUGAGUGUGAACCAUGGCCGCAAAAGGCUUAUAGAUAAGACCUCACUACGAGAAGAAAUAAAGUAUAUAUCCAGGUGUGUUGAGGGAAGUCACUAGCGGAGGCAAAAGGACAUGAUCCCUCGAGAUCAGAGUGAACAAGGUCUAAAGGAUGCUGAGACACUGUCUUGCUAUGAGUUUAAGGUAACUGGACCACGUAUUAGAGACAUCAUUCGAGGCGGAUCCAAGAAGAUCACGUCGAACUAAGGAUGAGAGAUCACAAGUGACCCAAGGCGAUGAUGCCACUCUUGAAAAUAUCUGGUAGACAAGGCAACAGAGGGAGAGACUGGCGGCACUAACAGUAGAGGGACUUGAUCCGGCAUCCCACUUGCCUGUGCACUCUUCGUACCCCGCCGAUCCGACUGGGUGUUCCUUUCCUGAUUGCGGGUUGUGUGCCACAGCUUGAUUAAGCACCCCAGGUUCUCCUACUGUGCGCCCUUGGCCUCGACUUUAGGUAGCGCCUGUCUUCGGCUCGUCCCGUGCAUAAUCCAGGUACGCGUCGAUUAUCCGAGCUCCUGCUCACCAUUGGUGGCGCUCGAGCGCGCGGUUAUGGUGUCACACAUAAAGGGAACACGGGAUGUGGGAUUGAGACAAUGCUUGUAGCAACCCACAUCAAGGCAAAGGAUGCUCAUCCAGACUGGUAGGGAGCGGAGGUGGUCACAAAGGUGGACGUUGACUCCAUCGGAGUCUCAACAGUGCACUCAUCAGAAAGAGUAGCACGAGUAAGAAGAUCCUGGACAUACUUCUCUUAGAAAAUAAAGAAGUCAUUAGAGGUAGAAUAAACCUCAAUCUCAAGGAAGUACCAAAGAGGACCAAGAUCGGACAUAAGAAAUUCACUAUGACGAGCCUUCACCAAGGUAAUGUUCUUACAGUCGUUGCUAGUGAUGAUCAACAUGUAGAAGAAGUGUUUGACCACGAGCUGAAUGGUGGAUCGAAAGUGUAGUAUAAUGAGCACUCGCCAAAAACUAGCCGCAAUCACCACUGAGACAAAGCGCUCAAACCAGGCCUGAGGUGUUUGCUUAGGGCCAUAUAGACAGUGAUGAAGACGACAAACCAUGCCAUUAGGAAGAGAACCUAGGUGGUGGCUACUUGUAGGCAUUCUUGACAUCAAGCUGAGAGACAGACUAGCGGCGAAUAGAAGCCAUAUUGAGAAGUGUGCGAAGAGUGGUCACGUGGGCCAUAUAUAUAGGAGUAAAUGUCUCUUCGUAGUCAUGACCAUGUUCUCACCACUAAACGAGCUUUGUAACGCUCAAGAGUAUCAUCAGUCUCAACCUUGUAGACCCACUUACAAGUGAUGAGACGAGCACGAGGAGGAAGGGAAAUGAGAUUCCACGUGCCGUUGCGGGCAAGAGCAUCAAUCUUCGAUGCCAUGACAUGCAGCCAUUUGGGAUGAACAACCUCACGACAAUAAGCGGGCGAGCUCGAAAGCGGUCAUUAGACAGAAGCGGGCGAGCUCGAAAGCCAUAAGUAGAGUAAGCCGGAGGCGGUGCGUUGCCAAACGAAAGUCGAGGGAGAUGGCUUAUGAGAAGAAUCCACAACACGCGGACCACGAGUGUUGUAAAGUCGAGGAACAUGCGCAAAAGAAGGAAUGUAUAAAAGGUCAAAGUGAGUCAUAACAUUCCCACCAAGUGAUGGGACGAAUACGAGGAGGAAGAGAAACAAUAUCCCACAUGCUGAUGCGCUCAAGAGCAACAAUCUCCUCUGCCAUCGCAAGGUGCCAUUUGGUAUGAAUAACAUCACGAUAAGAAGUCGGCUCAAGAACACCAGCACCAACGGUUGGAAGUCCAAGGCGGUCAACAGGCGGAAGCGGACGAGGAAGCAAGCCAUAAGUAGGCUGAGAGGGGAUGUGGCACAUCAGUAGACACAUUCGCAACGCGCGGACGAUGUAUAUAAAAGUGAGGAAAAGAUGGAAGAAUACAAGUCGAAAUCAUAGGGAUAAACUCAGGUGAUUUAGAGAAGGAAGCCACAACCGAUGAAGGUGUAGAAUCCUGUGAUAAGCGAGGUGAGGAAAUCAUAGGAGAUGAUGGCAUUGGAUCUGCAAUUAUCGGACAAGCAGGAGCAGUACAACAAAUGGAUAAGGGAGUGAUAGGAGUGUUGGAUUUGAAAAAAAAUAUAGAUUUCCUCCAUUGAAAAGGUCAAGGAAGAUGGACGCGGGUAGAAGGGAUGAGACUCAUCAAAAGUCAUAUCCCGAGAAAUAGGCAUCCGACGCCCAACAUGAUCCCAAUAAUGAUAUCCCUUAUGCUCAUCGUUGUAUCCUAAGAAGACACACUCAACGGACUGAGCAGUCAGUUUGGUACGUUCAUGUGGGCAAGAAGGACAUAGCAAACGCAACCAAACAAUUGAAGUGCCGAAUAAUCAGGAAAUAAUCAAAUAGACGCUCGAAAGGAGCGCCACCCUGCAGAGCAAUGGAUUGCUGAAGGUUGAUGAGAUGGAUGGAAGUGGAGACAGACUCGGCCCAAAAGUGCGUUGGAAGAGAGGCGGUGACCAUCAAUGGAGGAGCCAUCUCAAGAAGGUGACGGUGAUUGCGCUCAGCCACGCCAUUUUGAGGUUGAGCACCAGGAUAAGAGAACUAAAGUCUGCUCAGCAAGGAUUCCACGCAACAGCUUGGAGAUAUACUCUCCACCAGAGUCACCAUAGAACACAUGAAUAGGCGUAGAGAAUUGAGUGUGAAUCAGGGCAGGAAAAGGGUUAUAGAUAAGACCUCACUACGAGAAGAAAUAAAGUAUAUAUCCAGGUGUUUUGAGAGAAGUCACUAGCGGAGGCAAAAGGAGAUGAUCCCUCGAGAUCAGAGUGAACAAGGUCUAAAGGAUUCUGAGAUACUGUCUCGCUAUGAGUAUAAGGUAACUGGACCACGUAUUAGAGACAUCAUCGGAGACGGAUCCAAGAAGAUCACGUCGAACUAAGGAUGAGAGAUCACAAGUGACCCAAGGCGAUGAUGCCACUCUUGAAAAUAUCUGGUAGACAAGGCAACAGAGGCAGAGACUGGCCGUACUGGCAGUAGAGGGACUUGAUCCGGCAUCCCACUUGCCUGUGCACUCUUCGUACCCCGCUGAUCUGGCUGGGUGUUCCUUUCCUGAUUGCGGGUUGGUUGCCACGUGCUUGAUUAAGCACCCCAGGUUCUCCUACUGUGCGCCCUUGGCAUCAACAUGUGAAAUCGACUGCAGAGGGUUUGGGCCUGGGGGAUCGCAUCUUCCUGCCGGUGGAAGGCAUGCGUCCCCUCGAGGCUGGUACAGAUUCUGGCAAGGACAGAGUUUCUCAGCCCUUUCUCAUUGCGUGUGUAUUCUUUAAAGUCACGUAUAUUUUUCAGUAAUGCUCCCAAAUCUCUGCUCACUCCAGAAGUCCAGAUACAGUGCAUCACGUAAUUUUCUUGUUUAGUUGCCAUUAGCUAACUUCACAGAAUCCAAGUUGGAUUUGUUUGAACGACAAUGUCUCGAGCUUUUGGGAAGCAACACUAAUUACAAGCUUAGCUAGCGCCUUACCAACACUUUGCUAUUGUGAGGAUUUGCAUCCUACCUCUACCCCUAUGUCACAAGUAAAAUUAUUGUGAUUAUCCAUAUGAUGACAUGAGUAAUUUAACUUUUGUUCUGUGUUUCAUGUUGUCUGGAGCAAUGCUUGGCUCCUAGCAGUUUCCAGAUGGAUUUAUUUCCAUUGCAAUGAGAACGACUGUCAACAUUUGCUGAAUUUUUGGUCGACUCAACCCACAAACCAAGAGGACUUAACCCUCUUCUCCUUGAUAGUCCAGCAAUCAGCAAGUUGAAAAGAUUUAAAUCAAGGUUCCAUGAUAUUCUAAUGAAUCUCCCUGUAAGGGAGGCUUUUCAGAUAUUCCAUUUCAAACUAAAGGUGCAUUCCUUUUACUUCUGGUAAUAUAAACUAUGUAUUUUUAAUUGUCUAACCUUGUGUGCAUAGGGUUUCUUUCACACGAGAGGUUCUGCAGUAAAAAUAUUGUUUUAAUUGGUUGUUGUUUGCCUGUCAGUCACACAAGCCUUUAUUGAUCUAAACACUCUUAUAUUUCUUUACAGAGGGAGUACUAAGUACUAACUGUUAUCCCUUUGUAAUAGAAGAGCAUAAUUUCCACUCCCUAGUUGUUGAUCAUAUUUCUCUGUGCCACAUUCUAGUUCCAAAAAUGCAUGUUGAUGGUCCACCUUGUUGAUUGCCUGCUGAUAUUGUGAGAUAUUUGAUUAUGCUUGAUAAGAUUAGUAGCGAAGAGUGCCUCAUUAAAAAUCUUAGUUGAAGAGUGAAAUUUGCGUUAGUAGUAUGUACUGAAUUUUACGGCAGUCAUAAGAUGAAUUUGUUCCUGUGAAACUGAGGACUGAAAGAGCUGAUUCUGGUGCUCAACAGUAUGAUAUUUUAGCCCCUGCAUAAAUUGUGGGAAAUCCCACGUGCAUGGAAAAUGAAGGACUCAAAGGUUAACAUAAUCCAUUUUAUAAAUCAUCAAACAUGCAUCUUCAUUAUGUAUGAGAUUAUUCUGGGAUACCGCCUCCAUUAAUUAAUUAUGUAUUAGAGACGGAAUUUAUCUCUUGCGAUAAACUGAGGAGGGGAGCAGUUAUGUUUGUCCUUGCAAUUGUGACAUGUGUAUUUCUACAUCUGACAUACAGCAUAACUAUUUCAGGGCUUGACAGACCAGUUUUUAUCCGGAAGAAAGGCCUUUAGUGUGCGUUUGGAUCUGAAGAAACAAAGCAAGAUAUGGUUGUCAUUCCUCCUAACUUGGCUAGUUACUAGUAUCUCCUUGAUCCUUUGAUAAGGUAGUCUUGGCGAGUGUUUGGGCAAUAGAGAACAUAACUUGGCAAUUUUUGUACAUGUUUCAGGAUUAGAAGCUUAAAUUCUGAAUUUUAUAGUUCAGGAGUAGCUACCUCCUGAUGUACCGGUGUAAUUUAAUAGUUUCAUCGAAUGUGAAUCAGAAGUAUAUGUUGUUAACAUAGUUGGGUAUACAUAUCAUGUCAUCUUUCUUUUCUAAGGUGUUUGAUGAGUUCAAUGCAAUGGAACCGAUGAGCUGAACAUAUUCAAGGUUUCUAGCGGGAAUCACUUCUUCAUGGCCAUUCUGGUGAUAAUGGUUGUACUCCAG
This 7804-nucleotide long non-coding RNA is filed under the name Triticum aestivum (bread wheat). Its description in RNAcentral is "long non-coding RNA (TAES_LNC008494)". Lineage: Eukaryota; Viridiplantae; Streptophyta; Magnoliopsida; Poales; Poaceae. The record is from RNAcentral.